GCAGCGCCUCCUACUCCCUUCACUGGAAAAAGAAUCGACACCUUUCCGAUGAAUCGUCGCGUCUCUGCAUCGCCGGAGCGACACCGGCUCCGCCUCCCUUCUCCGAUUCGCACACUUUCCCAAAAUUCGUAUAUUUCCUAAAUUGAAGAAGCGAGCAGCGUCUACUCCCUCCUCUCGUUUCGUUCCUCCCCGGUGAAGUUGCCGACAAGGGAAAGGCGUCGCCUUUCUUCUUCCGUCUCUUUCUCCGUCGCGCGUGGAAGUUCCGGGGUCGCCAUCGCGCCUAUGCCGUCAGCCUCGGCGAGCAGCGCCGCUUGUCUCCGCCGUCGGCCUCACGCCGGCGUUUUCUCCAUGCCGGGCAGUCCGUCGUCUAAGAUAAGUCCCUUUCCCCUAACCCCUUUAAUUAUUCCGUAAAUCUGGAGUUCUCGGUUGAUGCUCGAUUCAACAUCUUGGGUGUUCUUAGUCACUAGGAUGAGCUUAAUAUUUUGCAAUUAGUCAUUGGCUUUGAUGCAAAAGAUCACUAAUUAUGAAGCUUAGGGCAGCAACUAAAUUGAUGAAGCCUUGAUGUCUUAACUUGCACAUGAGACCUACUGUGUUGAUAUUGCUAAGUUCGCAUUUUGAUUCUUGAGCAUCUAUGGUUCUAAGUUCUUGACUAUCUAUUGGGGUUGGUUUAUAUGAUGUAAAGCAUGAUGUUGGGUGUUGAGGCAAUUACCUAUUGAAGCUGCGGCUGCUUUGAGAAUUCAGCUCUUAAAACCUCAUCUUUCUUCCACUCAAACUUGCUGUGUUGCUGGAAAAAUUUGAAGGGGUGCAGGUGGUUGCUUGAUUCAGGCAGAUUUGGUGCAGCUGCCAUUUUGGGAUCAUUUUGACCUCCUUUGAUAAAGUUGUACCCAUAGGAGAAAGAGUUAUUGGGCUGUUAUUGGGCUGACCUUCGGGCCGACGGGCCAAACUCUCGGGCUGCGCAAGGUGUGACUCGGGCUUAAGAAGAGAGGCCCAACAUUUGCAUAUUUGUAUUCUUUAAUUCUUUCUCAUCAACACGUGUGUAAAUUAUUUUGUAACUAGAGAGUAGCUUGAUAUGUAUUCGAACUUUCUGGAUCAGCAAAGUAACCUCGUAUUCUUUCUUGACGUUUAUUAUAUUUAAUUUAAUAC
Molecule: non-coding RNA, 1143 nt
Organism: Salvia hispanica
Lineage: Eukaryota; Viridiplantae; Streptophyta; Magnoliopsida; Lamiales; Lamiaceae
Source: RefSeq, a predicted model, not a curated record